This 726-nucleotide small RNA is filed under the name Pan troglodytes (chimpanzee). RNAcentral's name for it is "retained intron". Lineage: Eukaryota; Metazoa; Chordata; Mammalia; Primates; Hominidae. The record is from RNAcentral.
AGCAAUAUUUAGAAAUUUCCAUUAGGUGGCGGUGCUGUCCUAGGCUAAACAGAUCACAGUCACGUGAAUUCUGCAACCUGCCAAAUUCUGUGGUCUCUGCUGGCGCCUGUCCUCCACUAUAGCCAUCUGCCCUUUGCCUCCCUGUUUACUUCUCUGGAUGCCCUUUCCCUGAGCUCACACACCCCUUGCUCUAGGAGGCAGUAGCAAGAGAUUUGGAUGCAGUAGUUCUCUCUCCGGGGCACUAACCACUCAUUGCUUCUCUCCAGAGAGCUAAACAAAAGGGCGUGAUCCACAUCCGAGUUGUGGUGAAAGGCCUGGGGCCAGGACGCUUGUCUGCCAUGCACGGACUGAUCAUGGGCGGCCUGGAAGUGAUCUCAAUCACAGACAACACCCCAAUCCCACACAAUGGAUGUCGUCCCAGGAAGGCUCGGAAGCUGUGAUGGGAAGGAAGCCUGCACUUGGUCCUGACCUCAAGCCUCAGCUCCAGUGGGACCUUGUAAAAUGCUCCCUGUCAGAGCUCUCCAGAAUAUGCUUGUUGGAGAUCCUUCAGGCAGUAAGGGAGAGUUUUGCCUCCUUACACAGUGGCCUUUGCUUGCACCUCCAGCUGGAGAUGGGUGUGCCCCAGAAGUAAGCUUUGCAUCUCACAAGAGGGGAGCUACAGGGGCAGCCGUGGCCUAGGCCCAAACUCUGCUCUGAGAAAAUAAAUAUCUGUACCAUCUGUCAUAA